AUGAAUACUUAUACUAGUAUCAAAUGUUUUAGAAAAACAGCUUUUGCUUACAUAAUAUUAGAGCAUCAUGUUUACAUUGUGAACUUUUAUUUAAGGCCAAAUUGUAGACAAGUAGACAUAGGAAUGGGCCUGAGGAACAAGCCAAGGGCAACACGACCAGAAAUAGGUGAUAAAUUGGUAACACCUGACCCUCAUCCAAUGGUUGUGGAAGCAGUGAAAUGUGUACUACCCAGGAAGACUGCCUUAAACUUACUUAAGGCUUGUGAAGUAACCACAAACAUCCGAAGUCCAGUCUCCAAUACGUAUGAGAGAUUAGAUAGAGUGGUGAAAAUCUGUGUCAAUCUAUGGCCUGUCCUGGCUUCAGCAAAAGAGCCUGUAGAGGAAAGCAGUAGUUCGCUGGAUGAAGAGGAACCUGGGACCAGCACAGAUACAAGGACCUUCAACACAUCAAAGUCUGGUGAGCAGCGUCCGAGAGACCAAGAAAGGAGACCCCAUGUUAGACAAGAAUUGGACAGGGCUAAAGCAAGCUGUCUAGUGAAGCCUAUUUCACUACCACCCAUAGGUAAACUAUCCCUUACAACACGACUAGCACAUUCAGAGUGCAUGGGAAUGCCAGUGCCACACACAUCUCUGCCACAGAUAUGUGUAUCAGACCAAGAUGCCUUGGUCAAAUCCUCCAAGGGGACAAAAGCCAUUGAGAAUAAGGCUCCAUUUCCCAUGAUCCUAUUGCAGAAGACCAGCACUUUGAUGGACAGCACCAUUAUCUCCCAAUGUAGGUCUGCCCAGGUUCACCUCCCUGAGAUCUCAGUGUCCAGUAUAGAAGGCCUGCUUCAGAGAGUUACAGAGCGAGUGGGAAGGAGAGAGAGAAAGAGGGAUGAGACAUCGGGACUGACCAAUCCUGAUCAUCUUCUCACGGCUGGCGCGCUGCGAAACCUGAGAGAGAAGAGGCUCCAGCAUCGGGGAGACUAUAGCUCAGAGGGAGCGGUAAGAUGUCCAGAGGUCAAGCCAAUCGGUGGACAGAAAGGGACCACUCUAGUAACAGAGAAUGGAAUGCAGAACCCUGGCUCCCUCUGCAAUAAAACCAAACUGCCUGUCAUCCUUAGUAUGACCAAAGGAAGCCUUUGA
This 1125-nucleotide long non-coding RNA is filed under the name Oncorhynchus kisutch (coho salmon). RNAcentral describes it as "lncRNA (ENSOKIG00005035607.1)". The record is from RNAcentral. Lineage: Eukaryota; Metazoa; Chordata; Actinopteri; Salmoniformes; Salmonidae.